This 566-nucleotide ribosomal RNA is filed under the name uncultured cyanobacterium. RNAcentral describes it as "bacterial SSU rRNA". It matches the Rfam family "Bacterial small subunit ribosomal RNA", at positions 216 to 795 of the family's 1533-position model. Lineage: Bacteria; Bacillati; Cyanobacteriota. The record is from RNAcentral.
UGUCUGGGGAUGGGCCUGCGGCUGAUUAGCUAGUUGGUGAGGGUAAUGGCCCACCAAGGCGAGGAUCAGUAGCUGGCCUGAGAGGGCGGCCGGCCACAUUGGGACUGAGACACGGCCCAGACUCCUACGGGAGGCAGCAGUGAGGAAUCUUCUGCAAUGGGCGCAAGCCUGACAGAGCAACGCCGCGUGGAGGAAUAAGGCCACUCAAGGCUGUAAACUCCUUUGCACGGGCACAGGAAGGCUGACCGCCCGGGAAGCAAGCAUCGGCUAACUCCGUGCCAGCAGCCGCGGUAAUACGGGGGAUGCAAGCGUUAUCCGGAUUUACUGGGCGUAAAGCGUCUGUAGGCGGUUCGGUGUGUCUGUUGUCAAAACGCAGGGCCUAACUCUGUGGGGCAUCUGGAUACUAUCGAACUAGAGGGCGGUAGAGGUGGGGGGAACCCCUCGAGGAGCAGUGAAAUGCUUUGAUACGUGGAGGAAGGCCGGAGGCGAANGCUCCCCACUGGGCCGCACCUGACGCUGAGAGACGAAAGCUAGGGGAGCGAAUGGGAUUAGAUACCCCAGUAGUC